CCGUCGAUAUCUCAUUUGGGAGAGCGGUGGACUGUAGAUCCAUAGGUCGCUGGUUCGAAUCCGGCUCGACGGA
This 73-nucleotide transfer RNA is filed under the name Dermacentor silvarum. RNAcentral describes it as "transfer RNA tyrosine (anticodon GUA)". It matches the Rfam family "tRNA". From Rfam's summary of the family: Transfer RNA (tRNA) molecules are approximately 80 nucleotides in length. Their secondary structure includes four short double-helical elements and three loops (D, anti-codon, and T loops). Lineage: Eukaryota; Metazoa; Arthropoda; Arachnida; Ixodida; Ixodidae. The record is from RNAcentral.